UUCUUUGUUUAUUUGAUUGCAAUGUUAGUUUACUGUAGGGUUUUCUAAGACAGAAGCUAUCUGGCCAAGGGCUUGCAUUUAUAAUUGCAGGUGGAUCUGUUGUACAGAAAAAUCUUGAGGUGGGCAAGGUACUAUCUGUUGAUGUUUCUUGUAUAGCAGUUGUGACUAGCUACAACAGUCAACGUCCAAAUCAAAUACAAUGGGCCCAUGAGAAGAGCAGUGUUUGGUAUAACUGAGAUCCUCAAGCUAGUAAGAAGGCUUUAUAGACUCAUUCUAGAUUCUGCAAAAGAGAGGGAAAAUAUUGAUGGGCGCACUAU
Molecule: long non-coding RNA, 317 nt
Organism: Rosa chinensis
Lineage: Eukaryota; Viridiplantae; Streptophyta; Magnoliopsida; Rosales; Rosaceae
Exons: 3
Source: RefSeq, a predicted model, not a curated record